UAAUACUGAGGGUGCAAGCGUUAAUCGGAAUUACUGGGCGUAAAGCGCGCGUAGGCGGUCUGGUCAGUCAGAUGUGAAAGCCCCGGGCUUAACCUGGGAACUGCAUUUGAAACAGCCAGACUAGAGUGUGGUAGAGGGAAGUGGAAUUCCGUGUGGAGCGGUGAAAUGCGUAGAGAUGCGGAGGAACACCAGUGGCGAAGGCGACUUCCUGGACCAACACUGACGCUCAGGUGCGAAAGCGUGGGGAGCAUACAGGAUUAGAUACCCUGGUAGUCCACGCCGUAAACGAUGUCUACUAGCCGUUGGGGAGCUUGUCUCCUUAGUGGCGUAGCUAACGCGAUAAGUAGACCGCCUGGGGAGUACGGUCGCAAGACUA
This 376-nucleotide ribosomal RNA is filed under the name uncultured Gammaproteobacteria bacterium. RNAcentral's name for it is "bacterial SSU rRNA". It matches the Rfam family "Bacterial small subunit ribosomal RNA", at positions 521 to 896 of the family's 1533-position model. The record is from RNAcentral. Lineage: Bacteria; Pseudomonadati; Pseudomonadota; Gammaproteobacteria.